Molecule: long non-coding RNA, 283 nt
Organism: Arabidopsis thaliana (thale cress)
Lineage: Eukaryota; Viridiplantae; Streptophyta; Magnoliopsida; Brassicales; Brassicaceae
Product: other RNA
Exons: 1
Source: RefSeq
GGUAGUUUGCAAGAACAAUAGAUGAUAAAAAAGGUAGUGGGAACAGACAAAGGCCAUUGAAAACACUCAGUCUUCCGAUAUCAGAGUUAUCUCCAUUAAGUAUUUAUUUCAUUUUCUUGCUUUUGGCUCAAACUUUUCUCUAUUACCUACUUUGCUUUUUGGUAUCUUUAAAUUUGAAUCUCGAUGUAUCCAAGUUGGUAACUGCAAACUAUUAGCACCACAGCUGUCAUGUUCUUCUUCUUGGGUGAUUCCAAAUGUUUUUCUUCUUUUAGUGACGGCAUUG